Molecule: ribosomal RNA, 431 nt
Filed under: uncultured bacterium
Lineage: Bacteria
Description: partial 16S ribosomal RNA
Rfam family: Bacterial small subunit ribosomal RNA
Source: RNAcentral
AACGAACGCUGGCGGCAGGCUUAACACAUGCAAGUCGAGCGCCCCGCCAGGGGCGCGGCAGACGGGUGAGUAACGCGUGGGAACGUACCUUUUGGUUCGGAACAACUCCGGGAAACUGGAGCUAAUACCGGAUAAGCCCUAACGGGGAAAGAUUUAUCGCCGAAAGAUCGGCCCGCGUCUGAUUAGCUAGUUGGUGAGGUAACGGCUCACCAAGGCGACGAUCAGUAGCUGGUCUGAGAGGAUGAUCAGCCACACUGGGACUGAGACACGGCCCAGACUCCUACGGGAGGCAGCAGUGGGGAAUAGUGGACAAUGGGCGCAAGCCUGAUCCAGCCAUGCCGCGUGAGUGAUGAAGGCCUUAGGGUUGUAAAGCUCUUUUGUCCGGGAAGAUAAUGACUGUACCGGAAGAAUAAGCCCCGGCUAACUUCGUG